This 400-nucleotide ribosomal RNA is filed under the name uncultured bacterium. Its description in RNAcentral is "bacterial SSU rRNA". It matches the Rfam family "Bacterial small subunit ribosomal RNA", at positions 356 to 773 of the family's 1533-position model. The record is from RNAcentral.
GGGGAAUCUUGGACAAUGGGGGCAACCCUGAUCCAGCGACGCCGCGUGGGUGACGAAGGCCUUCGGGUUGUAAAGCCCUUUUCUCGGGGAAGAUGAUGACGGUACCCGAGGAAUAAGCACCGGCUAACUCCGUGCCAGCAGCCGCGGUAAGACGGAGGGUGCUAGCGUUGUUCGGAAUUACUGGGCGUAAAGGGCGCGUAGGCGGCCUGAGAAGUCGGAUGUGAAAGCCCGGGGCUCAACCCCGGAACGGCAUUCGAAACUUUUGGGCUCGAGAACGGAAGAGGAGAGUGGAAUACCCAGUGUAGAGGUGAAAUUCGUAGAUAUUGGGUGGAACACCGGUGGCGAAAGCGGCUCUCUGGUCCGGAUCUGACGCUGAGGCGCGAAAGCGUGGGGAGCAAAC